Molecule: ribosomal RNA, 496 nt
Filed under: uncultured bacterium
Lineage: Bacteria
Description: partial 16S ribosomal RNA
Rfam family: Bacterial small subunit ribosomal RNA
Source: RNAcentral
GAUGAACGCUGGCGGCGUGCCUAAUACGUGCAAGUCGAGCGAACAGACGAGGAGCUUGCUCCUCUGACGUUAGCGGCGGACGGGUGAGUAACACGUGGAUAACCUACCUAUAAGACUGGGAUAACUUCGGGAAACCGGAGCUAAUACCGGAUAAUAUAUUGAACCGCAUGGUUCAAUAGUGAAAGACGGUUUUGCUGUCACUUAUAGAUGGAUCCGCGCCGCAUUAGCUAGUUGGUAAGGUAACGGCUUACCAAGGCAACGAUGCGUAGCCGACCUGAGAGGGUGAUCGGCCACACUGGAACUGAGACACGGUCCAGACUCCUACGGGAGGCAGCAGUAGGGAAUCUUCCGCAAUGGGCGAAAGCCUGACGGAGCAACGCCGCGUGAGUGAUGAAGGUCUUCGGAUCGUAAAACUCUGUUAUUAGGGAAGAACAAAUGUGUAAGUAACUAUGCACGUCUUGACGGUACCUAAUCAGAAAGCCACGGCGAACUACGU